This 805-nucleotide ribosomal RNA is filed under the name uncultured Gemmatimonadota bacterium. Its description in RNAcentral is "bacterial SSU rRNA". It matches the Rfam family "Bacterial small subunit ribosomal RNA", at positions 57 to 866 of the family's 1533-position model. The record is from RNAcentral. Lineage: Bacteria; Pseudomonadati; Gemmatimonadota.
GUAGUCGAACGGGACCGGGGGCAACUUCGGUUCAGUGGCGGACGGGUGCGUAACACGUGAGGAACAUGACCUUCGGCGGGGGAUAGCCGGCCCAACGGCCGGGUAAUACCGCGUACGACCAUUCGGGGACAUCCCUGGCUGGUGAAAGCAGCAAUGCGCCGAUGGAGUGCCUCGUGGCCUAUCAGCUAGUUGGUGGGGUAACGGCCUACCAAGGCAACGACGGGUAGCUGGUCUGAGAGGAUGGCCAGCCACAUUGGGACUGAGACACGGCCCAGACUCCUACGGGAGGCAGCAGUGGGGAAUAUUGCGCAAUGGACGAAAGUCUGACGCAGCGACGCCGCGUGUGGGAUGACGGUCUUCGGAUUGUAAACCACUGUCGGGAGGGACGAAUACGCCGCAAGGCGGGUGACGGUACCUCCAAAGGAAGCACCGGCUAACUCCGUGCCAGCAGCCGCGGUAAUACGGAGGGUGCGAGCGUUGUCCGGAAUCACUGGGCGUAAAGGGCGCGUAGGCGGCCUGAUAAGUAGGGGGUGAAAUCCUGCGGCUUAACCACAGGGCUGCCUUCUAAACUGUCAGGCUUGAGCACAGUAGAGGCAGGUGGAAUUCCCGGUGUAGCGGUGGAAUGCGUAAAGAUCGGGAAGAACAUCAGUGGCGAAGGCGGCCUGCUGGGCUGUUGCUGACGCUCAAGCGCGACAGCGUGGGGAGCAAACAGGAUUAGAUACCCUGGUAGUCCACGCCGUAAACGAUGGGCACUAGGCGUCGGGGGGAGCGACCCUCCCGGGUGCCGUCGCUUACGCAGUAAGUG